UACGUAGGGUGCAAGCGUUGUCCGGAAUUAUUGGGCGUAAAGAGCUCGUAGGCGGCCUGUCGCGUCGAGUGUGAAAACCCGGGGCUCAACCCCGGGCCUGCAUUCGAUACGGGCAGACUAGAGUUCGGUAGGGGAGACUGGAAUUCCUGGUGUAGCGGUGAAAUGCGCAGAUAUCAGGAGGAACACCGGUGGCGAAGGCGGGUCUCUGGGCCGAUACUGACGCUGAGGAGCGAAAGCGUGGGGAGCGAACAGG
Molecule: ribosomal RNA, 253 nt
Filed under: uncultured bacterium
Lineage: Bacteria
Description: partial 16S ribosomal RNA
Rfam family: Bacterial small subunit ribosomal RNA
Source: RNAcentral